AGGGAUGUAGCUCAGAGGCAGAGUAUUUGCCUAGUCUGAGCAAGGACCUGGGUUCUAUUCCUAGCAUAUCUU
RNAcentral lists this transfer RNA (72 nucleotides) under Marmota monax (woodchuck). It matches the Rfam family "tRNA". From Rfam's summary of the family: Transfer RNA (tRNA) molecules are approximately 80 nucleotides in length. Their secondary structure includes four short double-helical elements and three loops (D, anti-codon, and T loops). Lineage: Eukaryota; Metazoa; Chordata; Mammalia; Rodentia; Sciuridae. RNAcentral also lists the same sequence under 1 other name. The record is from Rfam by way of RNAcentral.